RNAcentral lists this transfer RNA (74 nucleotides) under Streptococcus agalactiae. RNAcentral describes it as "tRNA-Met". It matches the Rfam family "tRNA". From Rfam's summary of the family: Transfer RNA (tRNA) molecules are approximately 80 nucleotides in length. Their secondary structure includes four short double-helical elements and three loops (D, anti-codon, and T loops). Lineage: Bacteria; Bacillati; Bacillota; Bacilli; Lactobacillales; Streptococcaceae. The record is from RNAcentral. RNAcentral also lists the same sequence under 1 other name.
CGCGGGAUGGAGCAGCUAGGUCGCUCGUCGGGCUCAUAACCCGAAGGUCGUAGGUUCAAAUCCUGCUCCCGCAA